CCUACGGGGGGCUGCAGUGGGGAAUAUUGCGCAAUGGGCGAAAGCCUGACGCAGCAACGCCGCGUGAGUGAAGAAGGCCUUCGGGUUGUAAAGCUCUGUCAUCCUGGACGAAACCUCAAAGGUAAAUAGCCUACGAGAUGACGGUACAGGAGAAGGAAGCCCCGGCUAACUACGUGCCAGCAGCCGCGGUAAAACGUAGGGGGCGAGCGUUGUCCGGAAUUACUGGGCGUAAAGCGCGUGUAGGCGGAAAUUUAAGUCAGGUGUGAAACCUCGGGGCUCAACCCCGAGCCUGCAUCUGAAACUGGGUUUCUUGAGGGUGGGAGAGGAAAGUGGAAUUCCUAGUGUAGCGGUGAAAUGCGUAGAUAUUAGGAGGAACACCAGUGGCGAAGGCGACUUUCUGGACCAUACCUGACGCUGAGACGCGAAAGCGUGGGGAGCAAACAGGAUUAGAUACCCUUGUAGUC
RNAcentral lists this ribosomal RNA (464 nucleotides) under uncultured Eubacteriales bacterium. Its description in RNAcentral is "bacterial SSU rRNA". It matches the Rfam family "Bacterial small subunit ribosomal RNA", at positions 338 to 795 of the family's 1533-position model. The record is from RNAcentral. Lineage: Bacteria; Bacillati; Bacillota; Clostridia; Eubacteriales.